RNAcentral lists this ribosomal RNA (224 nucleotides) under uncultured bacterium. RNAcentral's name for it is "partial 16S ribosomal RNA". It matches the Rfam family "Bacterial small subunit ribosomal RNA", at positions 137 to 353 of the family's 1533-position model. The record is from RNAcentral.
CGGGGGAUAACAUUGGAAACGAUAGCUAAUACCGCNUAAAAGUCGACAUUGCAUGAUGUUGACUUGAAAGGUGCAACUGCAUCACUAAGAGAUGGACCUGCGUUGUAUUAGCUAGUUGGUGAGGUAACGGCUCACCAAGGCGACGAUACAUAGCCGACCUGAGAGGGUGGAUCGGCCACACUCGGGACUGAGACACGGCCCAGACUCCUACGGGAGGCAGCAUG